This 75-nucleotide transfer RNA is filed under the name Oscillospiraceae bacterium. Its description in RNAcentral is "tRNA-Thr". It matches the Rfam family "tRNA". From Rfam's summary of the family: Transfer RNA (tRNA) molecules are approximately 80 nucleotides in length. Lineage: Bacteria; Bacillati; Bacillota; Clostridia; Eubacteriales; Oscillospiraceae. The record is from RNAcentral.
GCUGGUGUGGCUCAAUGGCAGAGCAGCUCAUUCGUAAUGAGCAGGUCGCGGGUUCGAAUCCCAUCAGUAGCUCCA